Molecule: unclassified non-coding RNA, 253 nt
Filed under: uncultured Caryophanales bacterium
Lineage: Bacteria; Bacillati; Bacillota; Bacilli; Caryophanales
Description: uncultured Bacillales bacterium contains 16S-23S intergenic spacer region
Rfam family: Bacterial small subunit ribosomal RNA
Source: RNAcentral
UACGGAGGGUGCAAGCGUUGUCCGGAAUUAUUGGGCGUAAAGGGCGCGCAGGCGGUCCUCUAAGUCUGAUGUGAAAGCCCACGGCUCAACCGUGGAAGGUCAUUGGAAACUGGGGGACUUGAGUGCAGGAGAGGAGAGUGGAAUUCCACGUGUAGCGGUGAAAUACGUAGAGAUGUGGAGGAACACCAGUGGCGAAGGCGACUCUUUGGCCUAUAACUGACGCUGAGGCGCGAAAGCGUGGGGAGCAAACAGG